Molecule: small nuclear RNA, 92 nt
Filed under: Ursus americanus (American black bear)
Lineage: Eukaryota; Metazoa; Chordata; Mammalia; Carnivora; Ursidae
Source: RNAcentral
GUGCUGGCUUUGGCAGCACAGAUACGAAAAUUGGAACGAUACAGAGAAGAUUAGCAUGGCCUCUAUGCAAAGAUGUAUUGUUACAUAUUUAU